Scylla paramamosain (green mud crab) is the source of this 591-nucleotide long non-coding RNA. RefSeq lists it as uncharacterized. NCBI's taxonomy places the organism in Eukaryota, Metazoa, Arthropoda, Malacostraca, Decapoda, Portunidae. The transcript has 3 exons. The record is from RefSeq and is a predicted model, not a curated record.
GGUGAUGCAGAGGACUUCAAGGGUUUCAAGUUUAUUGUUGUUUCGAUGUCUUAUUUUCCAUACAUAAGCUACAAGUAUAUACAAAGUGCUAACGGCCCUAUAGUACUCUACCUUGAGGACUCUCUCAACACUCGCAUGCUUAACACUCUUGCUCGGCAUAUGAACUUUACGUACGAGCUGCGGCAUGCGUCUGACGGGAAAUUCGGAACAAAGGCGGAAGGCGGUAACUGGACAGGCGUGGUGGGCACUCUGCAGCACGAGAUGGCAGACUUCUCCAUGGACCUGACAGUGACGCCCGAGAGAGCAGAGGUGGUGGAAUAUUCAAGGGCAUACAUUGAUGAGUCCCUUGUGAUUCUGUCGUCUAAGCCAAAGCCCUUGCCUGAGUACUUGUCGGUGGUCAGACCUCUUGAAGGCGAGGUGUGGGGAGCAAUUGUGAUGUGCGUCAUGAUCUGGGGCUCAGUGCUGUGGAUGAUGGAGAGACUGUCGCACUGGAUUAGCGGAAGGCGUUACCUCAGCUUCACGUCGUCCAUCUUCUAUGGCUGGGGUCUGCUGCUUGAGGAUCGACCCUUUGAACCUCCUUCCACCACGUCC